UUCGAUUCUGGCUCAGGAUGAACGCUAGCUACAGGCUUAACACAUGCAAGUCGAGGGGCAGCAUGGGAUUAGCUUGCUAAUCCUGAUGGCGACCGGCGCACGGGUGAGUAACGCGUAUCCAACCUUCCCCCUGCUCAGGGAUAGCCCGCUGAAAGGCGGAUUAACACCUGAUAGCUUCACUAGAUGGCAUCUGACGGUGAAUAAAGAUAACGGCAAGGGAUGGGGAUGCGUCUGAUUAGCUUGUUGGCGGGGUAACGGCCCACCAAGGCGACGAUCAGUAGGGGUUCUGAGAGGAAGGUCCCCCACAUUGGAACUGAGACACGGUCCAAACUCCUACGGGAGGCAGCAGUGAGGAAUAUUGGUCAAUGGGCGGAAGCCUGAACCAGCCAAGUAAGCGUGCAGGAUGACGGCCCUAUGGGUUGUAAACUGCUUUUGUACGGGAAUAAAGUGACCUACGUGUAGGUUUUUGCAUGUACCGUAAGAAUAAGGACCGGCUAAUUCCGUGCCAGCCGCCGC
RNAcentral lists this ribosomal RNA (516 nucleotides) under uncultured bacterium. Its description in RNAcentral is "bacterial SSU rRNA". It matches the Rfam family "Bacterial small subunit ribosomal RNA", at positions 12 to 518 of the family's 1533-position model. The record is from RNAcentral.